CGAGUGAGGGCCCUCUGGGUCCAACCUCCCACCCGUGUCUAUCGUACCUUGUUGCUUCGGCGGGCCCGCCGUUUCGACGGCCGCCGGGGAGGCCCUGCGCCCCCGGGCCCGCGCCCGCCGAAGACCCCAACAUGAACGCUGUUCUGAAAGUAUGCAGUCUGAGUUGAUUAUCGUAAUCAGUUAAAACUUUCAACAACGGAUCUCUUGGUUCCGGCAUCGAUGAAGAACGCAGCGAAAUGCGAUAAGUAAUGUGAAUUGCAGAAUUCAGUGAAUCAUCGAGUCUUUGAACGCACAUUGCGCCCCCUGGUAUUCCGGGGGGCAUGCCUGUCCGAGCGUCAUUGCUGCCCUCAAGCACGGCUUGUGUGUUGGGCCCCCGUCCCCCUCUCCCGGGGGACGGGCCCGAAAGGCAGCGGCGGCACCGCGUCCGGUCCUCGAGCGUAUGGGGCUUUGUCACCUGCUCUGUAGGCCCGGCCGGCGCCAGCCGACACCCAACUUUAUUUUUCUAAGGUUGACCUCGGAUCAGGUAGGGAUACCCGCUGAA
RNAcentral lists this ribosomal RNA (541 nucleotides) under Aspergillus fumigatus. RNAcentral describes it as "eukaryotic LSU rRNA". The stretch from base 185 to 338 matches the Rfam family "5.8S ribosomal RNA". Lineage: Eukaryota; Fungi; Ascomycota; Eurotiomycetes; Eurotiales; Aspergillaceae. The record is from RNAcentral.